UUAAAGUUUCAAGUCUUCACCAAAGAUUCAAGUCCAACUUACAGUAAAUUAUGAAAUCCGAUCAAAGUGUUUUCCUUGAUCGAAAAAUUACUUAACUUAAGCCCAUAAAUAGUUGGCAACUUGGCGCAUUUGUUCAAUAUUUUUCUAAAUUUUUCUCUGUUUCUUUCUCCCACCCCAUAUCUAUAUCCAUCCCAGAGGCGCUCAAAUAAUCGACUUCAUUUAACUGAAAAACACUGCUCUGGGCUACAGCUGAACGUAAACCAUUACAAAGGGGACUGAGGCGGAUUGGAGGAGAUUGCCGGAGUGGAUGUGGAGGCAUGCUUGGUGAAUGGUGAAUGCACCGCCUCAUACUCCAGCUCCCAAUGUGUGUGCCAUAAAAUAAUUGAAAAAGAAGGAAAAAUAAGAGGAAAGGCAAAAGGCAAAAGGCAGAAAGAAGGGAAAGGAACACGAUUGAAAGGAUAUGUGGGGCAUCAGAAUGAAACACGGAAAUGGAGUUACCACUGUGAUGCCUAUUUUUAAGGCUCGUGCGAAUACAUGUUGUGGAACUUUUCUAGUUUUUAUUAACCUUCGAUGUCCUCUCAACUUCAGAGAUAAAAAUUUCAUGCUUGAUUUUCAAGUGAUCGAAA
Drosophila pseudoobscura is the source of this 626-nucleotide long non-coding RNA. RefSeq lists it as uncharacterized. Lineage: Eukaryota; Metazoa; Arthropoda; Insecta; Diptera; Drosophilidae. The transcript is spliced from 3 exons. The record is from RefSeq and is a predicted model, not a curated record.